RNAcentral lists this ribosomal RNA (274 nucleotides) under uncultured bacterium. RNAcentral's name for it is "partial 16S ribosomal RNA". It matches the Rfam family "Archaeal small subunit ribosomal RNA", at positions 473 to 747 of the family's 1478-position model. The record is from RNAcentral.
AAACCAGCACCUCAAGUGGUCAGGAUGAUUAUUGGGCCUAAAGCAUCCGUAGCCUGCUCUGUAAGUUUUCGGUUAAAUCUGUACGCUUAACGUACAGGCUGCCGGGAAUACUGCAGAGCUAGGGAGUGGGAGAGGUAGACGGUACUCGGGAGGAAGUGGUAAAAUGCUUUGAUCUCUCGAUGACCACCUGUGGCGAAGGCGGUAUACCAGAACACGUCCGACGGUGAGGGAUGAAAGCUGGGGGAGCAAACCGGAUUAGAAACCCGAGUAGUCC